CGUCACCCACCACUCUACCAGAUACCACCAGCGCCUCCUCCCUGCCACCGAACCCAUUUCCUCCACAUCCGCCGCAGGCUACAUACGCUGCCACCGCCGGCAACUCCUCGCCCGCCGACCGCCUCCCCGGAACCCCCUCUCUCUAUCCCACCGAUUGGAGCCACCCAAAUCGGGCACCCCCGGAGAAAGCCUCGUCCUUUUUCCUCCAUGGCGGGCGGCGGCGCGGCAGAGGAUGUUGGUGAGGCGGAGGGAACAUUGGGCGUCACCGGCGGAGGAGCAGGGGGUCUAAGAUGACGGUUGCACCCCUGUAGCGGGUGGUGGUCACCGGGGCGGCUCCGCGCGGGGCAGAUGAGUCCGGCCAGCGACCCUCCGAUGGCAGCAGCCACGGCGGAUGGUCGUGGUGGGGGACAGAGAGUUGGUUGCCUCCCCGCACAAGGGGAGCAACCAGUAGGAUCAGGCCUCGCGCGGGGCAGAUGUUCUCGACUCCGACAUUGGCAUCUGAAGAUGAUUCCAUUGGUUCAUGGUCUUUGUGCUCCUGCUCUAGCCUCCUCACUGUUCCAACCAAGACCUGAGAGGCGUGUGAGCACCUCUGACCCGGCAAAGCUGAUGAUCCGAGCAUGCUGCUGCUGCUGCUCCUUGCCUUCACCGACAGCCCUUCUUCUGCCAAAGGAGGAGAGGUUCCAGUUGGCAACAGAGGAGGCUGGAGAAGCACGAGGUUGCUUUGGCGGAGGUCUCUAGUUCGUGUACAUACAUGUUUAAGGUGAGCUUGUCUGGACGUGGCGGCGGUGUUUUUAUAUGUUUGGAAUGUUAAACCUGGAGGUGGAGUUGUUUGUAUCUGAAAAUAGAGGUUUUUUUUUUGUUAUAAUGUUGCUGGUUGUAAUCGUUGGAGCCGGUAGUAAUGAACAUGGUGUUGAUAACAAUAAUGGGGCGUGGCUCGUCUGCAGUAGCAUUAUUACUGUACCCAUACAGUAAUGAAAUUAUCAACCAUCCGAUCGCAUUUCCAACGACGUAGCCAGUCUUCUAUUUCCAGCAAAACCUGAUUAUCUUCUUCCUCUGCACGUAUCAGCCUAUCAGGCCGCCGUGCCGCGCUACUCAAUACAUCAGCGCGCAGCAGGCAACUAACCCAUGGAUUCACUGUCUGCGUCGCGCCGCCCGGGAUGCUGGCCACGGAUCUAAAACAGCAGGAGAUAGUGUGGUGCAGUCCAUGGCCCGCUGGUGUUCUGCUACGAGCAGAAAGACCCGUCAAUCCGUCAUCCUCCGGCGCAGACGUACUCCGGUCGAACUGCUCGAGCUGGGUGGUUGAGGCUUGAUUCCUUGUCGAGCUACCACUGCUGGCGGCUUAAUGCCUUGACGUGGUACUUUCCCAAGCGCCGCCGGAUGUCCGUCCCUCGUCGGAGCCGUGUGCUCCAUUCCUAGCGAUGGACAAUGGCAACGCACGACGAUGGCUACUGAUUGCAUGUUUGGUGCAACGAGAAAGAACAAGGGAAGAAGAACACAUUAAAAGGAGCGUUUGAGACUGCCGUUGGAUGUAACUGAAUGGUAGAUCAAGUACAUUACUGUACGGGUACAGUAAUAAUGCUACUGCAGACGAGCCACGCCCCAAUAAUGUAAAGCUUAAUGAUGAUAGUGCGGAAUGUUGCGAAAUUACUCAUGCUUCCGUUUCCACUGUCGUGAAAAUUCGGGAGAAGUUAAAGCUGUGGAUGGCGUCAUUCCUUGGUAUUCCCCGUGAAUCAAAUUCCCAAAAUAUCGGAAACACGGAUCGCUUAUCUGCGUUGCGGAAUUAAGGAAUGAUGAAUGAUGAUGACUUUAGACGGAGAGAUUUCAUGCAACAAGUAAACACGAUUUCAGGAGCAAGAAUGGAAAGUAAUUUCGCUGCAACAUCUCUACAUGCAAGAAUGGCUCCUUAAGAAUUGGGAAGGUUGGUUAUUGCGUUGCAUGGAGGAGGGAUAUACUCCAUGAAAAUUAAGUACAGUAACAAAUCACGCGCCUUGUUAGGGGGUUAGAAUGAUUUCCUAUCGAUGAAAAUUUUUAGGAGCAAGAAUGGAAAGUACUAUACUAGGAUGGAAUUAUCAGGCUCUUUCGGCGUCUCAAAAGUCCUCCCUUUUCUCCCCAACACCGCUCGUCGCUCGCCGCCGCAGCGCCCCGUCCCCAGCCUAUCCUCCGGCCGACCAAGUCCGUCGCGCAGUCAAUCCCGCCCACAAACGGAACCGUUGCCGGCCACCGUCGAUGCGGCCCGUCCCGGAUCCGGCGACCACCCUUCCGGCAAGACCCCGCAGCGGCUGGAGCUGGGGCGCCGCCGUCCCGCCGCCGCAGAUGUACAUUCUUGACGCGCGCGGCACCCGUGGGCGACCAACCACCAGCUGAUGCUGAAUCCAUCCGGCGCUGCAUCAAGACCUUCUCCACGGCGACCACGCGCGUCGACCUCACCCGCCACGGCAGGUAACCGGAAGCGGAUCAAGGACGGCCUACUGCAAGGGCAAUGAGAGCCCGACCGGCGUCCGGAGCUCCUCCUCCACGCAGAAGGGCUCGACCACUCAGACCUCUUCCGCCCACCAAAUGCCAGGUCACUUUAUCCUGCAUAUGGAGCUCAUGACUACAACCAUCAAAUGCCUCAGUCUGCUCCUCAAGCGGAACCUUAUGGUGACCAUCCUUCCACACACCAAUCAUGUUCAUACGACAUUUUCCUGCAGUCAAGUUCGGCUUGCAGCUCAUCUUACUUAAGUGUUCAUACUGCACCUCACUAGAAUUACCCUAUAAUGAUCAUCUUCACGUGUGUCAUGUGUGAUAGGGGCCUACCGAAGUUGAGAAGAAAGAGAUGGCGCCACGGUUGCUUUGGCGACUUCUGGUGACCUUGGCCGGCAGGAGGCCUUGGCCGGCAGGAGGGCCGCAGAAUCUUUUGUUGAUCACGGGGAUACGUGUUUUGUAGCUCAACAUUUUAGAAGCAAGACAGUCCUAAAGGUCACUUUAUCCUGCAUAUGGAGCUCAUGACUACAGCCAUCAAAUGCCUCAGUCUGCUCCUCAAGCGGAACCUUAUGGCGACAAUCUUCCACACAUCGAUCCGAGGGGCCUACCGAAGCUGAGAAGAAAGAGCUGGCGCCACGGUGGCUCUUGGCGACUUUUGGUGACCUUGGCCGGCUUGGAGGCUUGAUGGCAGAGCUGCAGGCCUAGCUGGUCUGUCCCAAGUUUCACCUCAGUGAGCGCGACAAGAUCGAUGGGUUCAAGCUGGAUAGACGAUGGUUAUUGUUGCAAGAAAUAGAAAAGAAGACCUUAUCAGUGCAUCCCAUGCCCAUGAUUAUUCGUUGCUGCUGCUUCACCACACACCCAAGAGGAGCAGGUUCGGGAGAAAGAAAGGGACCCAAAAUAGAAACAAGGGAAAAUAGAAAGAUGAGACUCCAAUUUACCCCGGGCUGGUGGUCAUGUGAUGUAUGUGAUUGUCCAAGUCAUGUAUUCAAAAGUUUGCUCUUGGAUCCUAGCAUCUAGCUGCUUCAAACGGGACAAUGGAUAAAAUUGGUAAUAUUUUGGCCACAUAUUCAAGUUGGAAAUAUGUGCUACUGCAAAAUGUAUGUUAUGAGAAAUCUUUGCUUGAAAAUUUGCUGGUAUUAGAAAUUUCCCAACUUGUUCAUCUUCUAGUGCAUGCCAAAGGGUGUAUUACUAGCUGAGCCAAAGAAAGUCGAUGGCUGACGUGACUGUGGCCCAUGAUCCAUUGAAGGUCGUUGUGGCCGACUUAAAUUUUGUCUCAUGUGUUGCGGAUGAUUUAUUCCUUAUAUGACAGGAGCAUCCAAGCGGUUCAAGAAAAAAUAGUAGCACUACUCUCUCCAUACCGGAUUAGAAGGCAAUUAACCUGGCGCAGCGGGACCAAGGCAGAGGCUGAUUGGUUGAGAUUUGCUCCGUUAAUCCAUCUGCGGGAGUAAUUAGAGGAGCCGAACCAUCAUUUUAGUCCCACGUUUGUUACCUGCAUGGCUGAAAUCUCGCACAUGCAAAGAUCGAAUGCAGCGAGGCUACUCGGUUACUUCCAAACGCCAUGCAAAGAAAAGGGAAGGACCAGAGCAAAAAUAGGAAACUACCUCACGCUAUACAGUAAUUGAGGAGAUUUAAAUUCCGUUAAUUGUCUAAUAAUUUGGUUUGCCUUCUAAGGAGAAAAUUUCCUUGUAAUCCGGUAUGGAGGGAGUAGGGAGUAUAAGAUUGCCAUGCCAUAACAUGGCAAGGCCAUAACUAGGUAUGGAAACUCAAAGGGAGGGAGCCAUACCCACCAGAAAAUGAGGAAAUUAGUGAAGGAAGGUAACCAAGGAACUAAUUAAAGACAUGCCAUGCCGUAACACCCGGCCAUAACUAGGUGCUCUGACCCGGAAUAAUAGGACAACAUCAAAUCUGCCCAACAGAAAAUGAGGAAAUUAGUGAAGGAAGAUAACCAAGGAACUAAAGAUAUGCUAUGCCGUAACACCCGGCCAUAACUAGGUGCUCUGACCCGGAAUAAUAGGCCAACAUCAAAUCUUCCCACCAGAAAAUGAGGUGCCAACAACCAACUGGUAUCAGCGCAUGCAGUCCAUGUCACCGAUCCGCGUGAUACCUAUCUCAACCGUCCAUCAUUCCAUCAAGCAACAGUGCAAGAGAUGAGAGGGAUGCGAGAUGUCAUUUUGUUCCCGCUCAAAAUUUCCCCCAAGAUAUCAAACCUGGCUGGGUAGCCUCUAUAAGUAGAAGCCUUUCGCCACGGACCGCGGGCGGGGUGCGCGAAUGACUAUGACUUAGACUUUGACUCUUGCUCGGAGAGAAGAGGAGAGGACACACGCUGCCAUGGCUGGCGAAUGGAGAUGAUGGUGGCCACGUUCGGUGGCGGCAUGCAGAUCAGGGUCUCGGCGAGGCGAGGAUGGCAGGUCCCUCCCUCCGUCCGACCUCGUCUUGAGAUCCAGCAUGUAACCGAGAUGGCUCAUAUAUCUGUAUUUUCUUAAUUGGUUCGGUUCUUCCAUUUGUGAAUAGAUUGGUUUGUUCCUGGUUUCUCUUGGUUUUUUGGGUACGAGAAAUCAAAGCCCGGAUUCCUUUUCUUUUUUAAUUAGUUGCGUCUGGCAGCAGCGCGAGACGAGAAAGUCGGAUCGGGUCCAGGAGUUGUUUUAGACGCGGGAUUCUAGCUCCUUGUUCUUUUUUUUUCCUUCUUGGUACGAUACGGUUGCUGUCCAAUUCAUGGAGUUUGAUUUGCUUGCUGAAGGAUAUGCUGCUGCUUGAGGUGUGUAUAUGCUGCUGCUUGCUGAAGGAUGGCCCCGUAUUUAUAGACACAUCUCGAUCCCAGCGGGAAAAAAAGAUCAUGUUGGCCCUUGAAAUUCCAUACUAAUGACUUUUCCUAAGGAUUGUAAGCUUUGGCAGCUUCUAUGCAUUCGUACAUUUUGUCACUGAAAAUAUCGCUUCUGAGCAGACGUGAUGACUCAUUUUUCCACGGUUAGUCAAUAUGCAUGCAAGAGAAACGAAGCAGCUAGCAGUUGACGGGACGGGACGACCCAACAAAGCGACGACGACGACUGCUGGGUUAACUUAAUCGGGUCUCCGCCUCUCUGGUCCUCUUGCCACUCAGGAAAAUAUCCACUUGCCGGUAUUCACCAAAAUUAAAGAGAAUUUUCUAGAUAUGGGUACUUCGAUACUAAGGUACAUAUUUAUCCGAUCACUAAUUAAUUACAGCGGAGGGGAGAGUUCUUUUAGACUGUUCAUUUACAAUUUAUUAUUUUUGCCUAAGUUACAUACUUUCAAAUUUGGGUAUAAAAAAUAGCACGCGCAUAGAUACGUGCGUCCUCUACCUGCAACUUUUUUUAAAGAAUUUUUGGAGAGCUAGAAACAUAAAUUUAGAGGCUGGCAAGUUACAGAGUUCAUGUGUGCCCAUUUCCCGCCGGGGGGUGAAUGUGCGGACUGAGGGCCGGGGAAGAGGACCGGGAGCAGGGAGCAGGUGGAGGGAGUGAGGAAGGACCGGGAGGAGGUGCCAGAGAGUUGCGAUCGCAUGGUGAUCAACCGCCUGAGUACGCCGACUGAUCCAAAUCAAGGGAAAAAGAUUUAACAUUUAGCCCGGUUGAGUGGGUGGAGACGCGGGAGAGAGAACCCGAAGGAGGGAGCGAGGAAUCUGGAAGGAGAGAUGGAGCGCGAUGAGGCAUGUGGGAGCUGCGGGGCGUGGGCGCGGGCAUGGUGACCUGAGAUGGUGCCUCCUGUACCCGCAAUUUUUUUAAUUUUUGAAGCGCAAGAAACUAAAAUUCGGAGGCCGACAAGUUAUAUGGUUCAUGAGUACCCAUGUUUCGCUGCGUAUUUUCGGCAAAAUGAUGAAUUUUCAAGUUAUAUGCCGGGCUUCUAGCCUAGAGGCCAGAGGAAUACCAAUUCCACCCUGGUAGUUCAUUAAACCAAUUCCACCCUGGUAGUUCAUUAAACUUAGUUGUUUUUCCAUAACUCACUGACAAAAUCAUUUCAUAGCAUAGCUGAGCAACAACUAAAUUUAAUGGCGACAAAGAAGUCAAGUAGGGGUAGCUAGACUACUGGGAUUGCAUAGCAAGCAUAGGACCCUACACAUGUAUACUACAAAAAUUUCUACUGUGCAUAGAUAAAAACUGGGACUUUUGUGAUUGGUGUGUCACCUGCCUGGAUAAGGUGGAGACUUGGUACAAUCUUCACAAGCACACGUGUUGCAGUCGGCACAAUCACAAUCUACAAUCGGAAAACAAUGCACCAUAAGCAUGGCGCUAAACAUUGGCAUGCACAAACAGAAAACAUGAAUGCAAUAUGUAUCUUGAACAUGAUAACACCUCUUAGUUGUUCUCUGGUUGCUUACUACAUGCAUGAUGCCAUGGUCAAGUUUUAUGGUUGGUUGAAUUAUUGCUAACCAUCUAUGUCGCACUAGCGAAGGGUAACUACCAUUAGUUGUAAAAGAUAUUUUGGUAUAGUAGAUAAAUGUUGAUUUUGGUACUACUGGACAGAGGGUUCCAUUUGCAAGCAUGUGCAAAAAGAAUCACUCAAAAAUGAUGUGUAUUACUCAUUUUAUGGGUAAAGUACUGCAAUUAGGCAUUUAAAUAUGAAUGGUUUUUAAACUUCUGCAAGUUCAUAUUUUAUUGUUCCUUAAUGUUCCUUAUAUUUUUACGAUUCCAACGAUAUAUGAUUCGUGAUUUUUGGACAUACAGAUCUCUGGAUAUGAAUUUUGCAAAGCGCGGACUAUCGAAAAUCAAAUUAAACGAAAUCUAGGGUUGUGUCCAGGACAUGUGGCGCAACACGAUUGGUCUGUACCCCUUCGCCGCAGAUCAGCGUUAUAAGCCGUAGGAUCUAACUAACAUGUACGGCCUGGAUCUGUUGAUAGAAAAGGGAAAGAGAAAUAAAAGAAAAAAGGGGGACCUAUGUGGCGCAGAGGUGGCGGCUGACGAGGCGCUGACGUGGCGACGACGUGGAUGAUGACGUGGCCAGCGACGAGGAAG
This is a long non-coding RNA of Lolium perenne, 7427 nucleotides long. RefSeq lists it as uncharacterized. The record is from RefSeq and is a predicted model, not a curated record. Lineage: Eukaryota; Viridiplantae; Streptophyta; Magnoliopsida; Poales; Poaceae.